This 479-nucleotide ribosomal RNA is filed under the name Arthrobacter sp. TF7. RNAcentral's name for it is "bacterial SSU rRNA". It matches the Rfam family "Bacterial small subunit ribosomal RNA", at positions 922 to 1399 of the family's 1533-position model. Lineage: Bacteria; Bacillati; Actinomycetota; Actinomycetes; Micrococcales; Micrococcaceae. The record is from RNAcentral.
CCCCCAACCGGCGGGACAUGCGGAUUAAUUCGAUGCAACGCGAAGAACCUUACCAAGGCUUGACAUGGACCGGACCGCCGCAGAAAUGUGGUUUCCCCUUUGGGGCUGGUUUACAGGUGGUGCAUGGUUGUCGUCAGCUCGUGUCGUGAGAUGUUGGGUUAAGUCCCGCAACGAGCGCAACCCUCGUUCUAUGUUGCCAGCACGUGAUGGUGGGGACUCAUAGGAGACUGCCGGGGUCAACUCGGAGGAAGGUGGGGACGACGUCAAAUCAUCAUGCCCCUUAUGUCUUGGGCUUCACGCAUGCUACAAUGGCCGGUACAAAGGGUUGCGAUACUGUGAGGUGGAGCUAAUCCCAAAAAGCCGGUCUCAGUUCGGAUUGGGGUCUGCAACUCGACCCCAUGAAGUCGGAGUCGCUAGUAAUCGCAGAUCAGCAACGCUGCGGUGAAUACGUUCCCGGGCCUUGUACAACCCGCCCGUGA